Molecule: long non-coding RNA, 302 nt
Organism: Girardinichthys multiradiatus
Lineage: Eukaryota; Metazoa; Chordata; Actinopteri; Cyprinodontiformes; Goodeidae
Exons: 3
Source: RefSeq, a predicted model, not a curated record
ACUCCGUGUCACUUCAAUGAGGCCAGUUGGUGCCGUGACAAUACCUCUGGCCAUGAAGUCCGACAAGAUGGACAACACCGCGCUAAAUAUCUCUACAACGCAGGAAAAGAGGCUUCAGCUGCUCACACAUGUUUCCGAGGGGAAUAAGGCCACAGGAUGGCACUGGAGAGGGAUUCUACCUCUGUGGAUGAUCCAGCAAAGCAACCUCUCCUGGUGGGAGUCAAUGGCUAUUUUCAUCAAUGGCCGACUGUCUGAUGCAUCUCUGCAGUUUAGUUCAAGUUCAGUUUAUUUCAGUUUUUAAA